Molecule: ribosomal RNA, 451 nt
Filed under: Evaniella semaeoda
Lineage: Eukaryota; Metazoa; Arthropoda; Insecta; Hymenoptera; Evaniidae
Description: partial 16S ribosomal RNA
Source: RNAcentral
AUCAAAAACAUGGUUUUCUGAAUUUAAUAGAAAAUCAGGUCUGCUCUAUGAAAAAAAUUAAAUGGCUGCAGUAAUUUUGACUGUACUAAGGUAGCGUAAUAAAUAGCUUAUUAAUUGUAAGCUUGUAUGAAAGAUUUGAUGAAAUAUAUACUUUAUUGAACUAAGAGAAAGAAUUUUAUUUUUAAGUAAAAAAGCUUAAAUAAAAAUGAGGGACGAGAAGACCCUAUAGAUUUUUAUAGGUUAAAGGAAUGACUCUAUUUAGUUUUUAAGAGCUUACUUGAACUUAUUUAGGUGGGGAAUCUUAAAAAUUACAAAAUUUUUUAAUUUAAAGACAUUUAUGUAUGAUUAAAAGAAGAGAAAGAAGAUAAGGAAAAUAGAAAUACCUUAGGGAUAACAGCAUAAUAUUUUUAUUUAGAUCUUAUAGAUAAGAGUGGUUGUGACCUCGAUGUUG